This is a non-coding RNA of Sus scrofa (pig), 1842 nucleotides long. NCBI's taxonomy places the organism in Eukaryota, Metazoa, Chordata, Mammalia, Artiodactyla, Suidae. The record is from RefSeq and is a predicted model, not a curated record.
GCUCUCGCCCACGGCCCGGCGCGUCCGCCCGUGAGCUUCUGCCUGCGGAGAGUGUCUCUGGAACGUGGAAGGCGUGCGGCUGCCGGGCCUCUCCUACCGCUGCAGAGCUCAGCUUACCAGAUGCCCGUCUCGGUCCCAACGAGCUGGACUGCGAGCAAUUCAGGAAAAAAGCUAGUCAACCGCAAAUCUUUCUGGCUUUCCCAAGAAUCUGUGAUGGGAAAUUGGCAAUUUGGAAACAAUGUGAGAGAUGGAUCUAACAUAGCAGUGACUCUUUUGGAAGAUUUUUAGUGUUGGGGAAAGAACUUCUCAGGGGUCCGAAGAGAGGAAAUUUAGGUGGUGAAGCAUGAACUCAUAUCCCCAGAGCUCAAGAAUGGCUGUCCUGGAGGUCGAGGGAACUGACAGGUGGAGACCAGUGAUGUUACUGCUUCCAAACUCAGCACCUAAACAUCUGCAUUGCUCAUUGGCUAUUAGUCAUAUAAUGCCUGUUCCAGUUUUCUGUUAUCCCUGGCUAAAUCUUAGACAGGCAUGCUUCAGAGAUAUUGCAAGUUUGGUUCCAGACAACUACAAUAAAUCUAAUACUGAAACAAAAGUGAGUCACAUGAAUUGACUGCCUCUUCUUUUCAUGAAUUAUUUCUCUGUAGCAUGCAAUGCUAUUUGAUAACAUUUUAUACAGAGAACUUCUUUCAACUUUGGAGUCAGUUUUCUCAAACAGUGUUGCUGCUCUAUCAACUAAGUUUAUGAAAUAUACUAAAUUUUAUGUUGUUAUUUCAAUAAUAUUCACAGCAUCUUCACCAGGAAUAGAUUCUAUCUCAAGAAACUGCUUUCUUUGCUCAUAUCUAAGAAGGAAUUCCUCAUUUGUUAAAGUUUUAUCAUGGGAUUGUGGCAAUUUUGGUCAGAUCUUGAAGCUCUACUUCUAAUUCUAAUACUCCUGCUAUUUCUACCACAUUUGCAGUUAUUUCCUACAAUGAAGUUUUGAAGCCCUCAAAGUUAUCCAUGAGGUUUGGAAUCAACUUCUUCCAAACUUCUGUUAAGUGUUGAUAUUUUGAUCUCUUCUCACGACUCACAAAUGUUCCUAAUGGCAUCUAGAAUGGUGAAUUCUUUCCAGAGAUUUUCAAUUUAUUUUGCCCAGAUCCAUCAGAGGAAUCACUAUCUGUCGCAGCUAUAGCCUUACCAAAUGUAUUUCUUAUAGAAUAAGACUUGAAAGUAAGUGUGAUUCCUUGAUCCAUGGACUGUAGAAUGGAUGUCGUGUUAGCAGCCAUGAAAACAACAUUAAUUUCAUUUUAAAUCUCCAUUAGAGCUCUUAAGUGACCAGGUGCAUUGUCAGUGAGCAGAAAUAUUUUGAAAGGAAUCUUUGUUUCUGAGCAGUAAGUCUCAAGAGUGGGCUUAAAAUAUUCAGUUAAAUCAAGUUGUAAACAGAUGUGCUAUCAUCCAGGCUUUGUUGUUCCAUUUAUAGAGCACAGACAGAGUAGAUUUAGCAUAAUACUUAAGGGCCCUAGGAUUUCCCAGUGGUAAAGAACGUUGGCUUCAACUUAAAGUCACCAGCUGCAUUGGCCCCUAAGAAGAAAGGCAGCCUCUGAAGUCUCUGAAGCUUUGAAGCCAGGCAUUGACUUCUCCUCACUAGCUACAAGAGUCGUAGAUGGAGUCUCCUUCCAAUAUAAGGCUGUUUUAUCUACAUUGACUAUCUGUUUAGUUAGCCACCUUCGUGAAUCAUCUUAGCUAUACCUUCUGGGUAUCUUGCUGCAGCUGCUAUAACAACACAACUUGCUGCUGCACCUUGUACUUUUAUGUUGUGGAGACAGCUUCUUUCCUUAAAAUUCACUGACCUGGAGUUCCCGUAGUGGC